This is an RNA transcript of Serinus canaria (Common canary), 7587 nucleotides long. It is a transcript of the gene named sushi domain containing 1, with no coding region annotated. The transcript has 17 exons. The record is from RefSeq and is a predicted model, not a curated record. Lineage: Eukaryota; Metazoa; Chordata; Aves; Passeriformes; Fringillidae.
GGCGGCGGGGGAGGAAAGGGGCCUCGCUGAGGGUGAAAGCACCGGGGGGGCCGAGGGCACGGCGGCGCCGAUAAGGCCGUCCCGCCCGCCGUGAGGCAGCGUCAGCCGCUCUGCGCCCGGGGCCUGCCCUCGGGCCCUGCCCUGCCCUCGGUCCCUUCCCGCCCUCCGCCCCGAGGAACGAUGCAGAGACCCCGGCGCCGUGCAGCACUGAGGGGCGCGGCGGCGGCGGGGACAUGAGCUCGGGGGGCGGCCGGGCGCUGGGGCCGCUCCUGCUGCUGCUGCUGCUGGCGCUGCCGCGGUGCGGGGCGCGGGGAAUUGUGAACAGAUCCAUUCCUGAUGUCUGUGCCACUUGCCACAUUCAUGCAACAUGUCAGCAGAGUGGAGGAAAAAGUGUUUGUAUCUGCAAUUAUGGAUUUGUAGGCAAUGGAAGAACCCAUUGUCAAGAUAAAGAUGAAUGCCAGAUUGGAGCCAGCAAGAUCUGUGGAAAUCAUACCCUGUGUCAUAAUACACAUGGAAGUUUUUACUGUGUUUGCCUUGAUGGAUACCGAGCCUCCAACAAUAACAAGACAUUUAUUCCCAAUGAUGGCACAAACUGUACAGAUAUUGAUGAAUGUGAGGAGUCUGAGCUGUGUGGUCACAAUGCAAGGUGUGUGAAUACUGAAGGAAGCUACAUGUGUUACUGCAAUGAUGGUUAUAAAUUAGAAACUGGAGAGCAUUCUUUUCAUCAAGAUGGAAACAUAGUUUCAUGCAAAGAAAUUGGAUGUGGUUCCCCUCCUGAAAUGCAGCAUGGCUACAUUGUGGGGAACUACAGCUUGCUACCAGGAAGUGCAGUUCAUUAUGAGUGUCAAGAAGGGUUUUACAGCAAUGAAGGAAAGUCCUCAUACUGCACUGCAAACGAAACUUGGGAACCUGCCACUUUAAGCUGUAAAGGUGUGGACUGUGGGACCCCACCUUUUGUUUUGAAUGCACAUCCAACAUCUGUGAGUGGGACCACAUACAGAAGUGAAGUUACUUACGACUGUGUUCAUGGGUACCUGAUGGCAGGUGGCAGUGGCACUGCAGUCUGCAAUGCCAAGGGACAGUGGGAUGGCCCUGAUUUGGUGUGCAAAGAAAUAGACUGUGGCAAACCUUUGCCGAUUCCACACACAACAAUGACCUGGGACAACUCUACUACUCUGAGGAGCAGAGUGUACUACCACUGUAAAGAGGGAUAUUACUUCUAUGGAGACAGGAAUUUUUCAGAAUGCACAAUAGAUCAGUCUUGGGAGAAUAUUACAUUCGUGUGCAAAGAGGAGGAAUUAUUUAGUAAUUUAUCCAUUUUCAAUGAAACUUGUGUGAGCUGGCAAAGGAAAAGUGGAAGGCUGGGAGUGCAGGAAACAUACACAUUUCAUAUACUGGGCCAAAGAUUGGAUGAGAAGAUAUUCUCAGAAGAUGUGGUAUUUAACAUCAGUACAAGUGAAGAUAAUCCAAAGGUGUGUUUAGACCUGGACUCUGGAAGUAACUAUGUGGUGAAUGUAACUACCAUUUCUUCUACAAACAUCACUGUCUCAGUUACAGUAGCAAUUCAGACAAAAGUUAAGGAAGCUUUCAAUAAUGUAUUAAUUUUUAAUGAUACCUGCUUGAAAUGGAGGAGAAAUGUCAGGGGAACUCAUGUGGAAGACAAAUACUCAUUUCAUGUGCAAGGCCAGCGUUGGUAUCAGAAGAACUUCUUUCAUGAAAUGACCUUCGAAAUUUCCACACACAAGCAAGCUCCUGAAGUUUGUUUAGAUUUGCAACCAGGCACCAAUUACUCUAUUAAUAUUUCCAUGGUAGCUAUGAAUUUUUCACUGCUUGUUUCUAUGACAACACAAAUUACAGAUCCCCCUUUCCCAGAAGUAGAAUUUGUUGCGGUUAAAGGUUCUGCACCUUUGCUCAGACUCCGGAAAGCAGAAGACCAAAAUGGACCGAUCAGUCUGUAUCAAGUGAUUGUGCUUCCUCUGGAUUUGCAAAGCACUUUUAUUUGUGACUCCUUUGAUGCUACAUCUUUCUUUAGUAACACCACUGACAUGAAAGGAUAUGUCGCAGCUGAAUUUCGGGCAAAGGAUGUUGCUGAUAAUAUGUCAAUUGCUCUUGGAGACAGACAUUAUUAUGGAAAGUUUUAUAAUGCUCCUUUAAAGCUGGGAGAAGAGUAUUGUGUUUUUUUGAAAAUAAUAAGUGAGUGGAAUAAGGUAAGAACACAGUCCUGUGCUGUUUGGGCACAAAUUAAAAAUUUAUCACCCACUCUGCAGUACAUGACUGCUGUUGGAUUAGGGACAGUGGCUGCUGUCUGCCUUAUAUUGUUCCUGUCAUUCUCCAUGGCACGUUCUUGUCUCCACAGCUCAGUGCAUCCCCCACCUGCUGCUGUAGCCUGUGAGGCUGUACAUUUAUCUACUACAGUAGACGUGGCACAAGCAGGGGUUGCGUCAUCAUUCCUAGAGACUGAAAGUGUCUCUCUUCUCUGAUGGUUUAUUCCCUGAAGUCAGCAUAGAAAAAAACUUGCUCUUCUUUCAAAGCCAGCAUGUGUCUGGUAUCUGCAUGUCACAUAUGUACUAUACACGGUCAGUUUAAAUGUGUUUGUCACUGAAGUGGGAUGUUUAUUGUCUUGCCUUAUUCCAGAUGGUGUGGUGUGUAAAGGAGAAUCUUCCCUCAAAGCAGGUUAUCAUGCAUCCCAUGUGUUGGUCACAGUCUUUCAGCUAUUCCAGCUGCAUGAGUGCCUGAUAAUGAGUGCUUGUAUUGUACUUGAUUACAUGAGUAAUCCCCUGAUCCAGCGGAGACUGUUUGAGGAUUAACUGCUACUUUAGAUACCUUUGCACACAUAAACUGGCCUAUUAUGAACAAAAGUACAGACCUACCCUUAUGCGAGAUAAAGUGCCUAUUGUACUUCCAGUUAUAAAGGUAGAACACUUCUUACAAGUAAUGAUACAUCAGUGACAUGUACACUUGUUAGCCAUGAAGUUGCCACAUUCAAGUAGUGUCAGCAACUGAUGGGUUCCAGAGAUAUUGCAAUCAUUGCUCAUAGCAAUUAGCAGUAAUUGCGAACUAUGUACCAAUCUAUAAAACUGCAGUUUGCUCAAAAGCUGCUUGCUUUAAUGGCAUGUGAAACUAAUUUAAGGAAGGACCUUCCUGUGUUAAGUGUAGUUUUGUUAAUCCCUGUUCUAUAAUUACAGAUGAGUAAAGCCAUUAAAUCAUUGUCUAGUUAAUUGGCUGGUGUGUAACAUCUAGUUAGAGUCACUUAAUAAAGUACAAUUAACCAAUUUUCUAUUGCAUACUCCCAGAUAAUACAUUUUUUUUCUUCCGUAAGAAAGAAUUAAGUGGCUUUGAUUAUUUCCAUUCCUCUUCACAAGUUGCUUUGUUAUAUGUUAGCAAAAAAGAUGUUUACUGGUAAAAUAAAAAAAAGCAGGAGUUUUGGUUUUGUGAUUUUUUUUUUCCUAAGUUAUGUUUUAUGUUUUACCAUUUUAAAUAUAUGCUGCACAUUUUUUGAAUUGUUAAGUUUCUGAAUUGCUAAGAUUCUGAUGCCUACUGCUCUUAUAAUUUUAGAUGUUCUGUCUCGCUAUAACAUGUAAUUAGGGUCUUUUUUGGCUUAAAGAACAACGGCAGAUUUCAUAGCUAGAAGCAAAGAAGAGUUACAGCCAAAAAGAGUUUUCAAUGGCUGCAUCCAGCUGAGAGUGCUUUUUCCAGGUCUGGGCAGAUACUGUUUCUGUUAUCCAGCAUUUUCAGAGCUGUCCUUCAAGUUAAUAAUUAAUAGCUAAGUAACACCUUUGUCUGCAUUAGGGAUUAAAAUUGAUAGCAUUUUCUGUUGCUAGUUAAGAAAGAAUAGCUAAACUGUUCAUACUGGGAAACCAUGCCUUAAUAUUUCAGUUUCUCAUGUGGAAUUCAUUCUCACACAUUCCAUGCCUAAUUCCCUUUCUCAAUGGAAUAGAUUGCAAGGUUUGGUAUUGAGUACAAACUGCACCACUUCAUUCUGAUACAGUGUCCUGCUGCUCUGGUCCUUAGAGAGAGUUCAUGAGCAGCUGUUCCUGUGUAAGGGAGAGCUGGAGAGGCUGGAAAUUAUUUAGAGAGACAGAUGUGCCAUCCUCUGUGAAAAAACUGAACUUCUUUUUACACUUUACUGACACCAUCAAUGUUCCAGUAUGCUGCAGUUGAUUAGGACUAUAAAGUCCAUCUUGUCAGUGGAUAUAAUUGGAAAACUUGAGGUCUUUGUGUAAUCUUCAGCAGGUUAUUUUUCUGUGUGCCUCUUAUUUGCUUAAGUUGCUUUUUCAUAAAUUUUUCAGAGCAAGGUUUUUUCCUUACAAAAUAUCCAUACCAGCUUCUGCUGGUAGUUAGAUAACAUACUUAAUGACUGAUUUGGACAUCUCCACACAGUGUAGCUUCUUGAUACCCAGCAAUGGACUGAUAAGGGAGAAGAGAUGAGGCAAGACUCUCUGUCAUCUUUAAUUUUCCAAAACAGCUACAGUUCUGCAAGUUUCCCUCAUUCUUUCUGCCUCCCUUGUCACUCUUGGCAGACCUACCACUGGCCAUGAGCAUAUCUUCAUCUGUGUUUAUCUUAUUACUUAUUAUUUUCAUGUUUACUUAUCUUUCUUCCACCUAUAUCUGUUUCAGUUAAAUAUAGAAAGAAAAGAGAACUAAUUUAACCUUGCCAUCCUCAGAUAGACGUGUAAAUGUUAAGGGUUUUUUGUUAGACCCUUGCUCUACUGCUCCCAAGCUUUUCUGCUGAACUGAUUGCAAUGUCAUAACCACACUCUCAUGUUUCCAGAAAUUCUAGAGACAUUUCUAGUGAUUCUAGAGACAUUUCUAGUACCUUCAGAAAUUUUAACACUGAAAUUUGUCCUUUUUUCUGAUUUUUUUCUCUGCUUCCUUGGAUAGGUUUUCCACACCCAGUCCAAGUAAGGUUAGUUGAGCUGAACCUAGUCUGCUUUUGCUGCUGAUCUGUACCACUUCAUGGUGCUAUUUUGAAAUGUGCUCUAUUGAGAAACUUGUUGAUUUAGAUCCAUACCAAUGUCUGCACUAUAUGGAGAGUAUUUUAAUCCUCUUUAUAUGAAAUGGGAAGUUGUUAGUCCUGGAGAAACAAGUCUUGUAAGCUUAAGUGAAACUAUUUCUUCUAUUUUAUUUUAUAAUUGUGAAAUAACGCAUGAUACUGUAAAAGCCCAGGACUUAUGCAAGUAAUUGUGAUGGUAUAUCAAAUGAAAAAGGUUUUAUUGUAAAAUACAGUUUCUACUACAUGUCACUAAUGGUCCUUUGAACCUUUUGGUGAAGUUUCUUUGUUUUAGGCAUGAUAAACACAGAAGUCAGCCAGGCUUGUUUGUUUCAGUAUUUAUAUUGUCAAUCUGUUGUUCAAACACGGCCAGAUAAGUGAGCCGGUGUCAUGGUUUUAGGCCCACAAGUCCAUGGAAAUGAAACACCUUAGAGCUACUCCCUCUUUCCCUCCCUCCCUCCCUCUUUUCUCCCUGCAAUCCAGUGAAAGAAGGAAGAAAAUCAAAGUAAAACUUGCAUGUUGAACUAAGAACAAUUUAAUAAUUGAAAAUAAAGCAAAAUACAAUAAUAGACGUGAAGAAGAAGAACAGUGAAAAGAGAAAAAACCAAAUAAUGCACAAUGCAAUUGCUCACUGCCCACUGACAGAUGCCAGACGCCCCUCCUGGACCCAGACAGGACGAGUUUCUGGGUGACUCCCCCCAGUUUAUGUACUGGGCAGGACAUUCUGUGGUGUGGAAUAUCCCUUUGGCCAGUCCAGGUCACCUGUCCAGCUAUGCUCCCUCCCAGCUUGUUGGGUUUCUUGCUUACUUGCUCACUGGCAGAGCACAAGACAAGGGAAAAAGAGAGCCCUUGAUGAUGGAUAAACACUAUUUAGCAAAACCCAAACCAUCAGUGUGUUAUCAACACCCUUCUUAUUCUAAAUCCAAAACACAGCCCUGUAACAACUACUGAGAAUAAAUAAAUUCUACCCCAGCUGUAACCAGGACAGCUCCUUGUGUUUGUGUAUGUUCUCAGAUUUAAAUAUUCUCAAUUACCACUCUUGUUUCCAAGGUCUUGCACUAUUUUGUGAGGCCAUUUCAUACUCAGAAUGGUUCAGCUAGAAUCCAGCGUGGGCUCACAGGUCUCUAGCUCAGAGGAGAGGAUUUCUGCUCCUAGUGAUAGAACUGCUGGGAAGUUACGAAAGUCUGUGAAAAAUCUAACUGUUGCAAUCCUUUCAAGGAGGGAGCUGGUGUCCUUGAAUCGUAUACUGAGUAGAUUCUGUGAAAUUAUUUGGUGAUCUCAGUGCUGAGCUCUAAUGUAAGGGUCUAAGUGCCAGUGUUGCAGAAGUACAGCAGUUCCUGGCAGCAGAGGAAUGACUCUUUGGACAACACUGCCACUGUCCUUCCAUUUCCGACCGUGAUGAGGUCUGAGGAGUCAGAGUACAAUGAUUUAAUUUAUGGUAUUGCUGUUAUGGAGCUAUUUUCAUUUUGAAGUUAACAAAAUGGCACCAUUACAGUCACAGAAGAAAAAGGGGAGACUUGCUCUGGAGUUCUCUUUUUCCUCCUCCCCCUCUUACCUCAAAUUUUAUGUGUAUUUUUCCAGAAAUAGUGCUUUUGUUUGUGCAGUCUCACAGUGGAAUAAGGAACAUCAGCAUUUUAUUAGUGUUUUCCCAACCUUGAGGCAGCAAAAUUUAUGCAGUUCUGUUGCAGUUCAUGUUUUAUGUUCCCUGGAGUCCUUGUUCGAUUACCAUGUUCUACAUUAUACAUGUAUGAUAUGUAUAUACAUGUGUGUAUGUAUAUUUAUACAUAGUUUUUUUCUGUUUGUUCCAUUGCACUUAACUAACUGGAGAUACAGUCAAAAUUUCCCACCAAGAGUGGAGAACCUUGGUUUUCACCCCAAGACUAGCAAAAAUACUAGUAGAAUGAGAAGCAACAGAGAAAGAAUUAGAGAAUUAAAGAAAAUUCUUAACAGAAAGUAAUUUCUGAAGGCCCGGAUUUUCUUGAGCAGCUUUUAGCAUAGAAUGUUUUAGCCUGAUUUGGUAACAGUUCAUAUAAAAGUCAUUCCUGCAGUUAUCCUGGGAGAAGUGAAAAGGCAGCAGACUGGUGAAGAUGUUCCAAGCUAAUGACCACAAAUCAGCUGUGCCAAUACAUUGAAUAAAGACUAACAAAAACAAAGGGUAGGGUUGAUGAAAGCCAGCUCUCAGCUAUUCGUUUCAACUGUGUAAAAUGGCUGCCUGAGUUUUUCUCUUAGCUGAUGAAAAUGUUAGGAAGUUUUAUUUUGUAUUCCUGUGUAUUCUAACCCAUUCUGGCUAUAUUAUUUUCAUGCGUUCACUUGUCCAGUUCUUUCUUCUAACCUGGAGUAUUCCUUUGUCGCCCUGAUUUUGUAAAACUUUGUAAGCCUUCUGAUGUUUAUAUUCUCUCAACAAACUUUCUCACACACAAUUCUGUAAAUAACCUAUGUUUUGCAUUCUUUCAUGGAGGUGGAGAGAAUUGAUGGGCCCUUGGUCUGUCCAGUGGCAUUGGAGAGGUGGCACUGUCACCCUCCAAUCCACUGUCACCUUUGGAAAACUAUAAAUGUUGGAGUCAGAAAAUAAAGGUGCUCUUUUUUGUUCCCCUCGA